AGAACCUAUCGUGGCGCUAACAUUGACUCCGACCACUUGUUACAUCAUUGAGAUUAUGUCGAUGAAAUGCGCCCAAAUUUUCUCGGUGUGUAAAGAUUAAUACCAAUAAAGCAGCUGAAAUGUUUCAAAAUACCUACCAGCAAAAUCUCUCUCGUCGCCUUUCAUCACGUUCAAGGUUACACAUACUGAAGCCUUGACCAUCGAAACUCAUCACAGGCUACGAACAAUGCAGCCCCAUUGUACCGCUAUCGAAGCCGGCGUGCGGUCGCAUGAGCAAUGUUCCAAAAGUUUACCAAAAAGUGCAUGCUCCGAAGUGAACUAAGUGUUCAAUAGUGCGAUUAAACACUCCGUUAUCGGUGAGAACGUCAAAUACUUGCAGCAUCCAACAGUUUGGCCCUGAUCCACGUGCUCAAGAGGGAUCUAAUUCUACUAAAGCGAACAAUAGAGGUAAUUCAAACAAUGUUUGCCAAGCUACCCAUCCCUAAUUGUGCUCUACUAGGUGUCAUUGCAUGAUCGACGAGUUAUCAGACGCCAGGUGGAUGGUUCAAAAUCCGGUUUACCGUAGAUUAUCCCAGAGCACGGACACUGCCAAUAAUAGCAGCAUCAAAUUCGACCUGGACCGUUUUGUGGCAGAAGUCCCACUCAAGACAGCAUAAAAAGGCCUUCAUCAGAGGGCCUUUUAUUUGCAGGCUCAAAUAGGCACUGCACUCCACGCGACGUUCUCAUCGCUCAGCACCCCAGCUACCUGCACGCUUUCCGUCAGCCGGUCAAAUUCUGGGAGGAAGGUCCUACACGAGCGCCAGUCGAGAGAGAUCAUGACCAAAUUGCAUCAAAGGUGCAUCCACCUGCGACAACAUUGAGCAGGCAGCGCGACAACCCGCACGUACAACUUGUUGCACCCCUGGUGCGACUGGGACGUGCUACAUUCUCGAGCUCUCAACAACGGUGUGACAAGCCACGGUGGCCGUAUCACCAACAGUUGUAGCGCGACAGCCGCGGUGCAGCAAAGUGCAACGCAGCGAUCGGGUGAAGGCCUUCCUGGUCGUGUAGCACCCGGUGGUGUGCGACGAAGCCAACGUGGAGCAGAAUGCAUCGAUGGUAGCAGCACGGGGCCCCCAACGAUACUGUUAGUGAGUAGCAAUGAGAACCUAGCAUAAGUUUGAAACAUUGUACCGGUAGAUCGAAGGUUUGCGAAAAUAGAAGUAUGAGAUGUUAAAUGUUACGUUCCAUGGUAGCUCUAAUUUCUACCUUGCCUUUAUCUUUUGAUUGAGUCAUUUUUUUUGGUUCCAUCGGCGCUAGUGCACUAUGCAAACAGUGGCUAGCCGGCCUUAUCCGUCAAUCUGAACCAAGAGUUUUAUUAGAAGGUGCACCGACGCCGGGAGGACCACUUUCUGUUUGUAGUGCUGUUGGUCAUAUAUUCCAUUGAGGCACUACCCGAGUUUUAAAGCGUUAUAUCCUUCUCGAAGCUUUUUCCCUCGGGAGUUGGCAAACACAAUAAGGGAAAAUUGUUACACACUACCUGGUGAUGGUGAAACUGCGCCCAAAACUAUCCGUCAUCAAUGAUGUACGGUACC
Molecule: long non-coding RNA, 1574 nt
Filed under: Aedes aegypti (yellow fever mosquito)
Lineage: Eukaryota; Metazoa; Arthropoda; Insecta; Diptera; Culicidae
Description: lncRNA AAEL020792
Source: RNAcentral